GUAACGCGUAUGCAACCUACCUUUUACUGGGGUAUAGCCCGGAGAAAUCCGGAUUAAUCCCCCAUAGUACUGAAAAUUCGCAUGAAUAAUCAGUUAAAGUUUCGGCGGUAAAAGAUGGGCAUGCGUCCUAUUAGCUAGAUGGUAAGGUAACGGCUUACCAUGGCGACGAUAGAUAGGGGCCCUGAGAGGGGGAUCCCCCACACUGGUACUGAGACACGGACCAGACUCC
RNAcentral lists this ribosomal RNA (229 nucleotides) under uncultured bacterium. Its description in RNAcentral is "partial 16S ribosomal RNA". It matches the Rfam family "Bacterial small subunit ribosomal RNA", at positions 110 to 339 of the family's 1533-position model. The record is from RNAcentral.